ACGGCGAGUGAAGCGGUAACAGCUCAAAUUUGAAAUCUGGCUCUCACCGGAGUCCGAGUUGUAAUUUGUAGAAGAUGCUUUGGGUGCUAGGCCUGGCCUAAGUUCCUUGGAACAGGACGUCAUAGAGGGUGAGAAUCCCGUAUGCGGCCGGUGCCUGUGCCCGUGUAAAGCUCUUUCGACGAGUCGAGUUGUUUGGGAAUGCAGCUCAAAAUGGGUGGUAAAUUUCAUCUAAAGCUAAAUAUUGGCCAGAGACCGAUAGCGCACAAGUAGAGUGAUCGAAAGAUGAAAAGCACUUUGGAAAGAGAGUUAAACAGUACGUGAAAUUGUUGAAAGGGAAGCGCUUGCAACCAGACUUGGGCGUUGGUGAUCAUCCGGAGUUUUCUCUGGUGCACUCGGCAAUGCACAGGCCAGCAUCGGUUCGGGUGGUUGGAUAAAGGCCUAGGGAACGUAGCUCCUCUCGGGGAGUGUUAUAGCCCUGGGCGCAAUGCAGCCUACCUGGACCGAGGACCGCGCUUCGGCUAGGAUGCUGGCGUAAUGGUUGUAAGCGACCCGUCUUGAAACACGGACCAAGGAGUCUAACAUCUAUGCGAGUGUUUGGGCGUUAAAACCCAUGCGCGGAAUGAAAGUGAACGUAGGUGAGAACCCUUUAGGGUGCAUCAUCGACCGAUCCUGAUGUCUUCGGAUGGAUUUGAGUAAGAGCAUAGCUGUUGGGACCCGAAAGAUGGUGAACUAUGCCUGAAUAGGGUGAAGCCAGAGGAAACUCUGGUGGAGGCUCGCAGCGGUUCUGACGUGCAAAUCGAUCGUCAAAUUUGGGUAUAGGGGCGAAAGACUAAUCGAACCAUCUAGUAGCUGGUUCCUGCCGAAGUUC
Molecule: ribosomal RNA, 868 nt
Filed under: Pleochaeta shiraiana
Lineage: Eukaryota; Fungi; Ascomycota; Leotiomycetes; Helotiales; Erysiphaceae
Description: partial large subunit ribosomal RNA
Rfam family: Eukaryotic large subunit ribosomal RNA
Source: RNAcentral